Molecule: ribosomal RNA, 492 nt
Filed under: uncultured bacterium
Lineage: Bacteria
Description: partial 16S ribosomal RNA
Rfam family: Bacterial small subunit ribosomal RNA
Source: RNAcentral
AGUGAACGCUGGCGGUAGGCCUAACACAUGCAAGUCGAACGGCAGCACAGUAAGAGCUUGCUCUUACGGGUGGCGAGUGGCGGACGGGUGAGGAAUACAUCGGAAUCUACUUUUUCGUGGGGGAUAACGUAGGGAAACUUACGCUAAUACAGCAUACGACAUACGGGUGAAAGCAGGGGAUCUUCGGACCUUGCGCGAUUGAAUGAGCCGAUGUCGGAUUAGCUAGUUGGCGGGGUAAAGGCCCACCAAGGCGACGAUCCGUAGCUGGUCUGAGAGGAUGAUCAGCCACACUGGAACUGGGACACGGUCCAGACUCCUACGGGAGGCAGCAGUGGGGAAUAUUGGACAAUGGGCGCAAGCCUGAUCCAGCCAUACCGCGUGGGUGAAGAAGGCCUUCGGGUUGUAAAGCCCUUUUGUUGGGAAAGAAAAGCAGCAGGUUAAUACCCCGCUGUUCUGACGGUACCCAAAGAAUAAGCACCGGCUAACUUCGUG